RNAcentral lists this non-coding RNA (86 nucleotides) under unclassified sequences. The record is from RNAcentral.
GUAUCACUGCCACCGGGUAGUGAACGUUAUGCGUUCGUGUGCUUAUCGUUAGGUCUAUGAAGAUAAGUACCGAAUGCUUUUUUUAU